GUAUUCGAUUUUUCCGGCGAAUUUUAUAUAUUCCGAGGGUCAUUGGUUUUGAUUGCUUUAGUUUUGCUCUUGCAUUGAAUCUUGAACGAGCUGAGAAUUGAGGGAAAAUAUUGAAAACUGGAUAGAGAUCGGAACGAUGAUGGAAAACAAAAGGAGCCCUUGCUCUGUUGAUCAUACCAGUUUCACUUCUUUGGCAUCGAAACGACAGAAGUCCGACUUAUCGAUCCCCACCAAGAUACAGCUUCUGUUCUCUUGGAAGCAAUGGAAUACAUACGGUUUCUUCACGAACAAGUUAAGGUUUUGAGUGCUCCGUAUCUUCAAACCGGGCCGAUAAA
Hibiscus syriacus is the source of this 335-nucleotide long non-coding RNA. RefSeq lists it as uncharacterized. NCBI's taxonomy places the organism in Eukaryota, Viridiplantae, Streptophyta, Magnoliopsida, Malvales, Malvaceae. The record is from RefSeq and is a predicted model, not a curated record. The transcript has 4 exons.